UUAUCUACCACUCUUUAAAUCUCUCUCUAUUCGACACUUGAAUCAGUUCUUCUUAUCUAGUUGUUUUAUUUUCAAAGACACCUGCCCCAGGAAAAGACAAACCCCAGGCUGGCCCGUCUAAAUCUCCCUCUCUGACUGAGAUUAAGAGCAAGUUGUCAACGGCCGCCAAGGAGGGGAAACCACUACCGAAGACCGAGCAGAAGUUUGAAAAUUACUUGAAGAGCUGUUUUAAAAUCGCAGACCCAAAGGUGGUCAAGGACCUUUGGAGUUUUGUAAAAACACUGAAGAUUGAAAAGAAGUAACACACGUUGUUCUUUUGAAGCAUUUGUAUGUUUUGCCUCCUGCAAGACAUUUAAAGGCACAGUCUGCGAGAUUUCCUCUUCGGCCUUAUUAAGUGUUACUGAAAAAGGGGUAACGCCGUGAGUGAUUCAGGGGUCAUUUUCAGUAGUUUAGAUGUGAAGCACCUUUUUGGAGCUAGUUCAUAACUCACAAACUCGCUCAUUCAUGUUUAUCUGACAAGCUGCCCACUUCAUCGCAAUCUGCACCACCUAUAGGCAAGGAAAGGAACUGCACACGCCUUUAAGAAGCUGCACGUGAAUGUUGCUCAACAUGCUGCAAUUAUUCAUAUUUGCGCCGCCUACAUGUAAUAAAUGCUGCACAUGCAUGAUUGUAUUGAUGCAAUAAAUAACAACGUCAUUACAUAUUCAGAGCCAAAGAUCAAAUCUGGUCAACUAGGUAAUUUUUUCAGGCACAAACAGAAUAUGUUUAACGGUACGUCCACACAGCAGCGUUGAAAAAAUCUUGAAAAUCUUGGAGCUGGGCGUGUCUGAGAGCUUUGGCGAU
This is a long non-coding RNA of Notothenia coriiceps (black rockcod), 843 nucleotides long. RefSeq lists it as uncharacterized. NCBI's taxonomy places the organism in Eukaryota, Metazoa, Chordata, Actinopteri, Perciformes, Nototheniidae. The transcript has 3 exons. The record is from RefSeq and is a predicted model, not a curated record.